This 398-nucleotide RNase P RNA is filed under the name Geoalkalibacter subterraneus. RNAcentral describes it as "Bacterial RNase P class A". It matches the Rfam family "Bacterial RNase P class A". From Rfam's summary of the family: Ribonuclease P (RNase P) is a ubiquitous endoribonuclease, found in archaea, bacteria and eukarya as well as chloroplasts and mitochondria. Its best characterised activity is the generation of mature 5'-ends of tRNAs by cleaving the 5'-leader elements of precursor-tRNAs. The record is from Rfam by way of RNAcentral. Lineage: Bacteria; Pseudomonadati; Thermodesulfobacteriota; Desulfuromonadia; Desulfuromonadales; Geoalkalibacteraceae.
CGAAGAAGCACAGGUGAUCGCCGCCCGUCCUGCCUGAAGGCAUGAUGGGGGGAGGAAAGUCCGGGCUCCGCAGGGCGCGAUGGUUCCUAACGGGAACCGGGGGUGACCCCAGGGAAAGUGCCACAGAAAGCAAACCGCCCGCUUUGGCCCUGUGCCGAAGCAGGUAAGGGUGAAAGGGUGAGGUAAGAGCUCACCAGUGCCGGUGGUGACACCGGCAGCUCGGUAAACCCCAUCGGGAGCAAGACCGAAUAGGGGAGCGUUUGAGGGCGGCCCGUCCGAAGCUCCCGGGUCUGGUCGCUUGAGGCCGUCGGCAACGGCGGUCCUAGAUGAAUGAUCACCGCCUCGCCCCGGGUAACCGGUACGGGGAACAGAACCCGGCUUACGGGCUUCUUCGGCCA